GAUGAACGCUGGCGGCGUGCCUAAUACAUGCCAGUCGAGCGAACAGACGAGGAGCUUGCUCCUCUGACGUUAGCGGCGGACGGGUGAGUAACACGUGGAUAACCUACCUAUAAGACUGGGAUAACUUCGGGAAACCGGAGCUAAUACCGGAUAAUAUAUUGAACCGCAUGGUUCAAUAGUGAAAGACGGUUUUGCUGUCACUUAUAGAUGGAUCCGCGCCGCAUUAGCUAGUUGGUAAGGUAACGGCUUACCAAGGCAACGAUGCGUAGCCGACCUGAGAGGGUGAUCGGCCACACUGGAACUGAGACACGGUCCAGACUCCUACGGGAGGCAGCAGUAGGGAAUCUUCCGCAAUGGGCGAAAGCCUGACGGAGCAACGCCGCGUGAGUGAUGAAGGUCUUCGGAUCGUAAAACUCUGUUAUUAGGGAAGAACAAAUGUGUAAGUAACUAUGCACGUCUUGACGGUACCUAAUCAGAAAGCCACGGCUAACUACGUGC
This 498-nucleotide ribosomal RNA is filed under the name uncultured bacterium. RNAcentral's name for it is "partial 16S ribosomal RNA". It matches the Rfam family "Bacterial small subunit ribosomal RNA", at positions 28 to 508 of the family's 1533-position model. The record is from RNAcentral.